AGAAAUAUGUCUGAUAAAAGAAUUACUUUGAUAGAGUAAAUUAUGGAGGU
Molecule: transfer RNA, 50 nt
Filed under: Mammut americanum (American mastodon)
Lineage: Eukaryota; Metazoa; Chordata; Mammalia; Proboscidea; Mammutidae
Description: partial tRNA-Ile
Source: RNAcentral